UGAUUUCUUAGGUGUGAAUUGUGUUUAAAUCAGGAGAUUUUACUGAUUAAGUUAAGCAUAUAUUUGGAUUUUGUAGCGCUGGGGAAAAUAGUUGCGCAUUUCAUUUAUGUGCUUAUGAUUGUUUUGAAUUGGUUGGCGCAUGCGCGUCAACGCAACAGUUGGCAUCCGUAGAUUUAUUUAUUAUAAAUAAAUCUACUAGUUUUAUGAAUAAAUCAUUGGUUGAUUUAUCGGUGAAUAUUAUUAAGAAUUAAUUAGGGAAAAUACAAUUGGUCAUUUAGCGUCGGGAACUUGAUAAACUACACGGCCACAGUUAUGUAGUACGUUGGUGGUACUGUAAAGCAAUAACAUGCGACAGUGGUAUAUCUCUAUUGGGUGAAGUGAGAUAUACGACAAAAUGGCGUCGGCCUAGGUGCCGGCGUGAGAUUCACGUGCUGCCAUGGUCAGACGUGGGAUAGUCUCUGUAAGAGUAGCGUGUGUGCUCUGUUACAUUAAAUUAAUUAUACAUUUGUCGCCAUUUGGUAUUUCGUGUAAAUAAUAUACACCCAUUGGCAUUAGUUGAGCAUUUGUUAAAUUGCAUAAAGGAAAAUACAUUUACCGUAUUAGCGUGCAACCAAGGGAGUUGAAUAAUACGUAAACUACAUUGAAUUAAAAAAUGAAAAUAUUAAAAGAUGAUGAAGCAGAAACUGAACGCACUGAACUGUGAAGGAGUACAUUUAGAAACCUGUGCCGAAAUAUAAAAAUAAUAAAAUAGUACUACCACGAGUAGGUGAUAUUGGAUAUGUAAAAUGAAAAUAUCAAAUUUUGUUUCCAUCAAAGAAAAUAAGAUAAAAACCAUCGUCAAUUGAAAGAGAGGAAUAAGAGUAAGAGCAAGAAGAAAGAGAGGUUAUGCUUCCUGAAAACAGGUUAACAGUACACACUAUUCCAAAGCGGUUUGGGCAGAACUGAGUGGAGCGCACGCCGGGUUACAACGAUAUGGUUUCAACAUAGUACAAAAUUACUAAACGUUUAGUAAUUUUUGUAUACUAUGUAGUAGUAUU
Microplitis demolitor is the source of this 1037-nucleotide long non-coding RNA. RefSeq lists it as uncharacterized. The transcript is spliced from 3 exons. Lineage: Eukaryota; Metazoa; Arthropoda; Insecta; Hymenoptera; Braconidae. The record is from RefSeq and is a predicted model, not a curated record.